Molecule: ribosomal RNA, 253 nt
Filed under: uncultured bacterium
Lineage: Bacteria
Description: partial 16S ribosomal RNA
Rfam family: Bacterial small subunit ribosomal RNA
Source: RNAcentral
UACAGAGGGUGCGAGCGUUAAUCGGAAUUACUGGGCGUAAAGCGAGCGUAGGUGGCUUGAUAAGUCAGAUGUGAAAGCCCCGGGCUUAACCUGGGAACGGCAUCUGAAACUGUCAGGCUAGAGUAGGUGAGAGGAAGGUAGAAUUCCAGGUGUAGCGGUGAAAUGCGUAGAGAUCUGGAGGAAUACCGAUGGCGAAGGCAGCCUUCUGGCAUCAUACUGACACUGAGGUUCGAAAGCGUGGGUAGCAAACAGG